Long non-coding RNA from Podarcis raffonei (Aeolian wall lizard), 480 nucleotides. RefSeq lists it as uncharacterized. The transcript has 4 exons. Lineage: Eukaryota; Metazoa; Chordata; Lepidosauria; Squamata; Lacertidae. The record is from RefSeq and is a predicted model, not a curated record.
UUAUCUCUGUUCCCGUUUCCUCCCUCUCGUGCUCCAAAACCCCGCAAUAGGAAAAUCAACAGAGAAAGGAGAGCGAAGGAGCUGCAGGUAGCUGCUUUCUUAGCAAGCUCACCCUUAUUCUGCAGUGCUUAGAUAAGGGAGCAGCGAGGAGGUUACUAAAUUUCUCAGUUGCUGACAAAAUGAGUGACAAAGUGAAAAUCGCGGUAGCUUCCGCUCACGUUUUAGGUGCUGCAGUAAAGGGCCUCAGCGUCACAGUACCGGUAGCUGUUUUUCCGUGUGUGUGCGCUGCCGUUGUGGUGAUCACUAUUGCCUAUGUCGCUGAAAGGGUCAUCAAUAAACCCAAUAACGCAUGAGCAUGAAAGAACGAAGCUGAACCCGAGCGAGUUGCUCCUCGUCACGUUGCGCUGUUUCCUGCUGCCAAGUUGCCCCGGGUGUGUCUUUGCGCAAGGAAACUAAGCACAAAUAAAUCAUUCACUUGGA